RNAcentral lists this ribosomal RNA (253 nucleotides) under uncultured bacterium. RNAcentral describes it as "partial 16S ribosomal RNA". It matches the Rfam family "Bacterial small subunit ribosomal RNA", at positions 524 to 776 of the family's 1533-position model. The record is from RNAcentral.
AACGUAGGGGGCCAGCGUUGCUCGGAAUUACUGGGCGUAAAGGGUCCGUAGGCGGUGUGGCAAGUCGGAAGUGAAAUCUCAGGGCUUAACCCUGAGGCUGCUUCUGAAACUGCCGUGCUAGAGUGCGAGAGAGGCGAGUGGAAUUGCAGGUGUAGCGGUGAAAUGCGUAGAUAUCUGCAGGAACCCCCGAGGCGAAAGCGGCUCGCUGGAUCGCACCUGUCGCUGAGGGCCGAAAGCUAGGGGAGCAAACAGU